Molecule: ribosomal RNA, 413 nt
Filed under: uncultured bacterium
Lineage: Bacteria
Description: bacterial SSU rRNA
Rfam family: Bacterial small subunit ribosomal RNA
Source: RNAcentral
CAGCAAGGAAUUUUCGGCAAUGGGCGCAAGCCUGACCGAGCAACGCCGCGUGGAGGAUGACGGCUCUUGGGUUGUAAACUCCUUUUGGGGGGGACGAUAAUGACGGUACCCUCCGAAUCAGGCCCGGCUAACUACGUGCCAGCAGCCGCGGUAAUACGUAGGGGCCAAGCGUUGUCCGGAAUUACUGGGCGUAAAGCGUGGGUAGGUGGUCGAUGAUGUGCCGCGUGAAAGCGCCGGAGUAAUGCCGGCGAGGUCGCGGUAGACACGUUGACUAGAGGCUCGCAGAGGAACGUGGAAUUCCCGGUGUAGUGGUGAAAUGCGUAGAUAUCGGGAGGAACACCAGUGGCGCAAGCGGCGUUCUGGGCGAGACCUGACACUGAGCCACGACGGCGUGGGGAGCAAACAGGAUUAGA